UCUGCUUGCCAUAGGGCUUUGAUAUGGGGGGUGGGACUGAGAAGUCUCUGAAUAUUUAUUUUGAAACAGCUUGGAAAAUUUGCUGGCUUAAAAAAAAAAACACUAUCUAAAAAGUCCUAUAAGUGGCUUGUUUCAUGGCAGAAAAUUACAAAAACUAUUGGUUACAAUAUACAAAUUACAAAAACAGUAUUAUAUUUAUUUUAUUCAUUCAUUCAUUCAUUCAUAAAUACACUUAUGUUCAAGUUGUUUUGCAACCCAGAAGGUCUGAGAGAGAACUGUGAAGCAUGUGUGGUGCUUUUAUUUGAUUUUUCUUGUGUGUGAACUGCUCCCCAAUAACUCGCAGGGACUGCAGGGUAAAUCUGGCCAUGUGAAUGCAGCACCUCCAUUCCAGAGGAGAUGUGUCUUAAAGGGCUUUAAAAACCUCCUGUGAAAAACCUCCUGGAAUCAAACUUGACUGAAUUUGUUCAGAAUUCUGAGAAAACAAACAUAGGCUCACACUGCAUGGUUGAAAGUCUCCUUUGCUAAUCUACAUAAAGUUUAUGUAGUGCAAAUGGAGUAUACAUUUGGACUAUGGACAACAUAUUCUCCAUUAAUGACUAUGUUUAAUAUCUUGUAUUGUUAUUAGUGGUCACUAAGAGUUGACACCAACUUGAUGGCAAUCAAUCAAUCAAUCAUAGUUAUUAGAAAUGCAGAUAAAUAUGCCUUACAAUUACUGUCCUUUACCCACAGGUGUAUGUGGACAUACACAUGCUUUCAGGAUGUACAAACUUACAUUGCAGUGUAGAAAUGUAUUUGCCACAUACUUUGCUCAUACGGUUUUCACUGUUGUAGUAUUGGAUAUGUAAUGUGUGGUAUGUAAAGUGUGCCGUCGAGGUGGUGUCGACUCCUGGUGACCACAGAGCCCCGUGGUUUUAUUUUGGUAGAAUACAGGAGGGGUUUACCAUUGCCUCCUCCCACGUAGUAUGAGAUGAUGCCUUCCUAUAUAGCACCUUCCUAUAUCGCUGCUGCCCAAUAUAGGUGUUUUCCAUAGUCUUGGAAACAGUGGGAUAUGAAUCGGCAACCUCAUGCUUGCUAGGCAAGUCAUUUCCCCGCUGCGCCAUUAGGUGAUACCUUGUAUAUUAUUUAGAGAAAAAAAGUAUCUAUUGAACAAUGAAUGUACCCACAUUUAUUUUCCACUAUUCACAUCAUCAGGUAGUCUGUGAUAACUAGCAUGCUGAAAUUAUGUUGUUAGUACCUUUUAAAAAAAUUAUUAUUAUUACAUUUUAUAUCCUGUUCUUCCUCCAAGCAGCCCAGAGCAGUGUACUACAUACUUAGGUUUCUCCUCACAACAACCCUGUGAAGUAGGUUAGGCUGAGAGAGAAGUGACUGGCCCAGAGUCACCCAGCUAGUCUCAUGGCUGAAUGGGGAUUUGAACUCCAGUCGACGCAGUCCUAGUCCAGCACUCUAACCAUUACACCACGCUGGCUGGCAAUGUGAUAUUGAGUAGUCAGUGGUGGAACAUGUACUUAUUGUGAUGGGGAGCUGCAGAAGUACUACAGUUCAUAUAAAAAGUUAAGAUGAGUCCCCGCCCCCCACAGGAAUUGGGAAGGUAUUUACAGAGACCAUCAUUCUGCAGUAUUACGGCUACAAGUUUUUCGUUUUGCUGAACACAUAAUGGAACAAUAGUUUAAAAUAUUGUUGUGCAAUGAAAUCUGCAGGAGGUGGCAGCAAGCUGACAUGGUGUUCUGUUUUCACAAUGCGGAUAGUUAUGAAACCAAAAGAUAAUACUGAAGAAUUGCACUUGAAUGCUGAACAUUCUGAGACCUGUGGAUUCCUCUCUUUGCCCUAUGACAUGUGACAAAGACAACUGGGGACGAUUAUUAUCAUUUCUAGUGCUGCAUGUUCCCUGACCUUUUUUCAUUAAUUGCAACCUUUUCAUUUGAAAUUACUUCUCAUUUCACUUCCGCCAAAUAAACAUGCAAUAUUUUCACUCUAA
Molecule: long non-coding RNA, 1975 nt
Organism: Hemicordylus capensis (graceful crag lizard)
Lineage: Eukaryota; Metazoa; Chordata; Lepidosauria; Squamata; Cordylidae
Exons: 2
Source: RefSeq, a predicted model, not a curated record